UAGUCUGCAACCCGACUACAUGAAGCCGGAUCGCUAGUAAUCGCGGAUCAGAAUGCCGCGGUGAAUACGUUCCCGGGCCUUGUACACACCGCCCGUCAAGCCAUGGGAGCCGGGGGUGCUUGAAGUGCGUCGCCGCAAGGCGCGCCCUAGAGCAAAACCGGUGACUGGGGCUAAGUCGUAACAAGGUAAC
Molecule: ribosomal RNA, 190 nt
Filed under: uncultured bacterium
Lineage: Bacteria
Description: partial 16S ribosomal RNA
Rfam family: Bacterial small subunit ribosomal RNA
Source: RNAcentral